Long non-coding RNA from Athalia rosae (coleseed sawfly), 383 nucleotides. RefSeq lists it as uncharacterized. The transcript is spliced from 3 exons. Lineage: Eukaryota; Metazoa; Arthropoda; Insecta; Hymenoptera; Athaliidae. The record is from RefSeq and is a predicted model, not a curated record.
UGAGAGUUUAAGAAAUUCUUGACGAAGAUUGAGCUGUCUUUAUCGUUUUUUCGGAUAUCAUGGAGCAGAAAUGAGUGUAGGGAGAGACCACUUACUCGUUCCAGGGGUCUGUUACAGCAGAUAGCUCUCCACAAUCGUAGAAAAUCCGACCUUUUUCCGUUUUGCCAGGAGAGCGUAUCCCUGAAAAAAAGAUUAGAACGACUCAAAAGAUUGAAUUACCGAAACACAUUCCAGUCGAAGUUAGCUCUCCAUAUUACGUACGCUUCAAUUUGCCGAGUUUGCAUUAUGGCGGAGUUAAUAAUAUUAGUGGACUACAGGUUUUGUUAAAAAAUCAAACAUCCGCAAAGUUUUUCAAUCAAAUGAUUUACAACGGUGUUUCAGUC